RNAcentral lists this long non-coding RNA (540 nucleotides) under Olea europaea subsp. europaea. The record is from RNAcentral. Lineage: Eukaryota; Viridiplantae; Streptophyta; Magnoliopsida; Lamiales; Oleaceae.
UCAAACUUCUUCUUCAUAUUAGUCGCCAUUUCACCCAACAAAUAAUUUCCUCUUAAUCUUCAUUCAUCCAAUUCGAUUACAAGAUUGCAAAUUUCAUGAAGAUAAGCACAAGUACUAACUUGCAAUGAAGCACUAAACUUCAAAGUCACAUUAAAGAAAUUUUCAAGAAAUUUAACAAAAACAAAUGCACUUUCCCAAUCUAAAUUUGACGGAGGUCCACCCCUCCUUCUACCAUUAUCAUCAUCUAAUGCAAAUACUAAGCAUCCUCUUCUUCUAACCUAUCAAAAACUUUUUCAAAUUUCAAUGUCGUUUCCAACAUCAAAUAGGUAGAAUUCCACCUAGUUGGAACAUCCAAAAACACAAUAAACUUGCAAUCAAUCUUCUCUUUCCUUGCACACUCCUUCAAUUUUUCAUACCUAGAGGGAGAAGAUUUCACAUAUUUGAUUGCAUUGCGAAUAUUCACAAUGGAGUCACGUGCUUCUCUCAAGCCUUCAACAAUAAUCAAAUUGAUAAUGUGCACACAACAUCUCAAGUGCAAAU